UAGUGAACCAGUACCGUGAGGGAAAGGUGAAAAGAACCCCGGGAGGGGAGUGAAAUAGAACCUGAAACCGCAUGCAUACAAACAGUAGGAGCCUCAUCAGAGGUGACUGCGUACCUUUUGCAUAAUGGGUCAGCGACUUACAUUCUGUGGCGAGCUUAACCGAAUAGGGGAGGCGCAGCGAAAGCGAGUUCGAAAUGAGCGUUCAGUCGCAGGGUGUAGACCCGAAACCAGAUGAGCUAUCCAUGGCCAGGUUGAAGGUGUGGUAACACACACUGGAGGACCGAACCGACUAGUGUUGCAAAAUUAGCGGAUGAGCUGUGGAUAGGGGUGAAAGGCCAAACAAAUCUGGAGAUAGCUGGUUCUCCCCGAAAACUAUUGAGGUAGUGCCUCGUGUGUCGCUCCAGGGGGUAGAGCACUGUUUUGGCUAGGGGGACAUGGAGUCUUACCAAACCAAGGCAAACUCCGAAUACCUGGAAGCGUAAGCACGGGAGACAGAGCACCGGGUGCUAACGUCCGGACUCAAAAGGGAAACAACCCAGACCGCCGGCUAAGGUCCCAAAUAACAGCUAAGUGGAAAACGAAGUGGAAAGGCCGUGACAACCAGGAAGUUGGCUUAGAAGCAGCCAUCCUUCAAAGAAAGCGUAAUAGCUCACUGGUCGAGUCCUUCUGCGCGGAAGAUGUAACGGGGCUAAGCUGUUAACCGAAGCCGCGGAUGCGCUGGUUAUCCAGUGCGUGGUAGGGGAGCGUUCUGUAAGUCUGCGAAGGCGGUUCGAGAGGACUGCUGGAGAUAUCAGAAGUGCGAAUGCUGACAUGAGUAACGUUAAAGCAGGUGAAAAGCCUGCUCGCCGUAAGCCCAAGGAUUCCUGCUCUACGUUCAUCGGAGCAGGGUGAGUCGGCUCCUAAGGUCAGGCCGAAAGGCGUAGCCGAUGGGAAUCAGGUUAAUAUUCCUGAACCUGCGUCAGAUGCGAUGGGGGGACGGAGCAUGGAAGAUCAUCCGGGUGUUGGAAGUCCCGGUUGUUUAGCGUAGGAGGUCUGCAGGCAAAUCCGCAGACGCAUCUCCAAGGCAAAGACACGUGCCGCUACGGCGGCGAAGUGAUCGGAAGUGCUUCCAAGAAAAGCCUCUAAGCACCAGUCUGAUGCGGACCGUACCGCAAACCGACACUGGUGGGCGAGCUGAAUAUGCUCAGGCGCUUGAGAGAACUCGGGAGAAGGAACUCGGCAAAUUGACACCGUAACUUCGGAAGAAGGUGUGCCGUAGUACCGUGAGAGGAGAGACACCUUGAGCGGGAAACGGUCUCAGAGAAUAGGUGGCUGCGACUGUUUAUUAAAAACACAGCACUCUGCAAAGUCGAAAGACGACGUAUAGGGUGUGAUGCCUGCCCGGUGCUGGAAGAUUAAUUGAUGGGGUGAGAGCCCUUGAUCGAAGUCCCAGUAAACGGCGGCCGUAACUAUAACGGUCCUAAGGUAGCGAAAUUCCUUGUCGGGUAAGUUCCGACCUGCACGAAUGGCAUAACGAUGGCCACACUGUCUCCUCCCGAGACUCAGUGAAGUUGAAAUGUUUGUGAUGAUGCAAUCUACCCGCGGCUAGACGGAAAGACCCCAUGAACCUUUACUGCAGCUUUGCAUUGAACUGUGAACCGAUUUGUGUAGGAUAGGUGGGAGGCAGAGAAGAGGCCACGCCAGUGGUCUUGGAGCCGACCUUGAAAUACCACCCUGAUUUGUUUGCGGUUCUAACCACGGACAGUGAUCCUGUCUUGGGACCGUGCAUGGUAGGCAGUUUGACUGGGGCGGUCUCCUCCUAAAGGGUAACGGAGGAGUACGAAGGUACGCUAGGUACGGUCGGAAAUCGUGCUGAUAGUGCAAUGGCAAAAGCGUGCUUGACUGCGAGAGCAACAACUCGAGCAGAUGCGAAAGCAGGUCAUAGUGAUCCGGUGGCUCUGAAUGGAAGGGCCAUCGCUCAACGGAUAAAAGGUACUCUGGGGAUAACAGGCUGAUACCGCCCAAGAGUUCAUAUCGACGGCGGUGUUUGGCACCUCGAUGUCGGCUCAUCUCAUCCUGGGGCUGUAGUCGGUCCCAAGGGUAUGGCUGUUCGCCAUUUAAAGAGGUACGUGAGCUGGGUUUAAAACGUCGUGAGACAGUUUGGUCCCUAUCUGCCGUGGGCGUUGGAAGAUUGACGGGGGCUGCUCCUAGUACGAGAGGACCGGAGUGGACGCACCUCUGGUGUACCGGUUGUCACGCCAGUGGCAUUGCCGGGUAGCUAAGUGCGGAAGAGAUAACCGCUGAAAGCAUCUAAGCGGGAAACUUGCCUGAAGAUGAGUCUUCCCGGAGGUUGAACCUCCCUCAAGAGUCGUCCGAGACCAGGACGUCGAUAGGUCAGGUGUGUAAGCGCUGUAAGGCGUUGAGCUAACUGAUACUAAUUGCUCGUGAGGCUUGAUC
This 2436-nucleotide ribosomal RNA is filed under the name human gut metagenome. RNAcentral's name for it is "bacterial LSU rRNA". It matches the Rfam family "Bacterial large subunit ribosomal RNA", at positions 488 to 2925 of the family's 2925-position model. The record is from RNAcentral.